ACGCUUAACUGACUAAGCCACCCAGGCAUUCCCUUCUGCUGAUCAUUUUAACGAGGACCUUUGACGUUUCCUAAUUGCUGCCUGCUCCAGAGAAGGGCGAUGCUACGGAACUUUCUCAGUAAAAUGAUAAAGGUGACUCAGGAUACCGGGCGGACCAUUUUUCACCCAGAGAUGGUCUUGCAUCUCGGAAGCCCCAGCCUCUAGCAGGAAGCUCGGCAUCCAGAAACUUCUCAACGAAGGUUUGCUGAAUAACUGAAUGAAUGGUGAAUGAAGGAAGUCUUCUUCUGGAGGCUCAGUCUG
Molecule: non-coding RNA, 300 nt
Organism: Callorhinus ursinus (northern fur seal)
Lineage: Eukaryota; Metazoa; Chordata; Mammalia; Carnivora; Otariidae
Source: RefSeq, a predicted model, not a curated record